AAUGUCGUAACAAGGUUUCCGUAGGUGAACCUGCGGAAGGAUCAUUACCUAGAGUUUGUGGACUUCGGUCUGCUACCUCUUACCCAUGUCUUUGGGCUACCUUCGUUUCCCUCGGCGGGUCCGCCCGCCGGUUUGGACAACAUUCAAACCCUUUGCAGUUGCAAUCAGCGUCUGAAAAAGCUUAAUAGUUACAA
Molecule: unclassified non-coding RNA, 194 nt
Filed under: plant metagenome
Description: partial contains small subunit ribosomal RNA and internal transcribed spacer 1
Rfam family: Eukaryotic small subunit ribosomal RNA (bases 1-47)
Source: RNAcentral